GACUGGAUGCAAAGCUUCAAUCUUUGACAGACUCGAUCCCGCCGGCACAACAGGACUAACAUCAGGAUCGUGACCUGUAUUCUUCAUAAGUUGGGGGAGAUGGGUAAUGGCAAUGGUGCCAUAGACAAUGUAGAUGAUGCCGUAGUCGAGGAGGAGGUAGAUAUUUCUGGCCUUGGUUUUCUCUUGGAAAGGCUCAACCUACUUUUAUCGGCACAUUAACAACUUCUAUUCGGAUUUACCAGCUACUGAUCAUUCUAGCUCAUUAAGAGGCGUGUGCACAUUUUUGAAACAGAUCAUUCUAACUCUCCUAGGAAAUCAACACUACAGAUCCUGCUGAUGAGUUUUUGUGUCCUUCUCAUUUUGUAUGUUUGCUUUUUAAAAUUUCUCCACCAUCUUCCCUUCUUAUUUAUUAGGAUAAGCUCACAUUCUUUGGAGGAUUUUGGAACUACUUCAGCCUGGGUAAGCAUUUUCCCUACUACUUUUCUGUAUAAGUUGGUGGACUUAAUGGCAGAGUUGAGAUGAGAAGAUCAGGGGAGGCUAGGGCAUGGUGAUGGGGAAGAUAGAGGACUUAAAAAAUUACCAAUAUAGAAGUAACUGAAGAAAACCAGAGAAAACUGAGAAAGAGAUAGAAAGCUCAAAGAGAUAUUUUCAUUGCAUUGUCAAAUCUGUUACAACUGAUCAUAUUUAUACACAAAGAUUCAUAACUUAAUUCCCGAAAACUAGGGAAAGAAUCGUUUACAUAGUUCUAGAAGGUGCAAUGGAAAUGCUAUGGUUUUCUAGAAGAGGUUAUAACAGAAUGGCUGGAGCUGUGAUUCACUUUUUCUUUGCCUUCAUGAGGGGUGGUCUGGUGUGACAGCAGCCUAUGAUCAAUAUUCAAUAGUAACAGAGUUGAUGUAGUUGACACUAAAAGCUGAAAAAAUAUGGGUUGAAGACUUAAAUACAACUCACCUCAUCAGUCAGGGACUACUUGUAUAGUUUAUAUUUUGAUCAUGGCUUUUGUUAUAUAACUGAGUAUAAGUACAUUUUCUUGUAAAAUUCUUUUAUCUUCUAUAGAGUAUGUUGCUGCCCGAGGAUGUGGAAAUCACUGCUUUCAACCUAUUCAAAGGUUAGAUAUCUCUCUUCUAUUUUUUUGCUUUCUAUGUCAAAGAUGUAGGUAAUAUUGAUUAAUUUGCAAGUAAUUUAUGACAUCGUAUCCUAGUCAUAUAAGGUAUUAGUAUAUAUGUAUAUAGUUUACUAAUAGUACUAUUCCUUUUCCCUGGCAUGACCUUAUCAUCAGUUGCAAGUAUAAAGGUCAUGAAACAACUUCGUAGCAGAGAGACCUGAUUUUGUCUGUCAUUGAUGAUGAACAUCUUGAAAUUAUUGGUUACAAAUUCUUUCCUCAAAGUGAAGAAUCGAUUCACCUUGACCAGGUUAUACAUCAUCUUAAACUUAUUUGUAAAUCGCUUCUUUGAGUUCUUUCCUUUUAUCCUGUUUUUGAUUGCAGAGUGCUAUUGACUAAGUAUGUAUUGGUGGCGAGCCUGUUGCAUUAUUUUUAGAACAAAGCUUGGAUUUUGUGUUUUAGGUCAACCAUCCGCCUUAGCGUUUCUUUGUUUCAAUUUGUGAGCACUUUCAGUUUAAUAUCUAAAAGCAGGUGAGAUUUCUUUGUCUUCCAAGUUUGACAUGCCUGCAUUGCAUGCUAGUAGUCAAACUCGUCAUGUGUUCUUUGUACCUGUGCAUGUCAUUACCUUGAACUGGUAAUCAGUCCUGCUGCUAUAAUCUGAUAUUCCAAUUGUUUCAAGUAGCUGCUCUAUCUUGCAAGGACAUAUGUUAUCGACUCGUUAAUCUGAAGGUUCUUGAAUUCCCACCAGUGUGCUACCAAUUGAACUCAUUAUGACGUUGUAGCUAGUUAGCAUUGCAGCCGGUUUAUUUUGAAUUCCCAAUUGAAGUUGAAUAUUUAUUUGAUUUCUUGCAUAAACUCAAAAAGGUGAUCCUAUUGCUAGGUAUGGGGACUUCGUUUCGAGUUUAUUGAUGGUGAAGAAGAGGUUGUGAAGGCCCGGGGAUCCAAGAAAGGAUGGGCAUGGGGACGUGGGAAGGCCCGGGGACGUGGCGCGAGCCAGAGUGGACGUGGCCUGAUUGCUCCAUCUCCGCAAUCAAGCUGUGCCAUACAGUGUGAAGCAUCUGCCAAACCAAAUACAAAGGGCCCGAGAAUGCCAGACGGGACUAGGGGUUUCACCAUGGGAAGAGGCAAGCCUUAAAGAGUGAUGGAUGGUGGUUCAUUUUUGUUCUGGUCUACUUAGUUACUAGUACAUGUCUGGCUCUGUCUUCCCUGCGAGUGUUGGAAAAAAGGGGAAGUGGAUUUUGUGGCUAUUAAAUGUGUAAUGGAUUAUACCUGGUGUUGCUGAUUUUGUUGGUUUAUUCGGUGAUGUAUAAUAUGUGGUAAAGUGUGGGAAUAGCUCACCAUUUUUUGUUUCUCAUCUUUUAUAGAGCUACUUUGCAUUUUCCAUGGGAAUUCAGUUCUUUUUGUACA
Molecule: long non-coding RNA, 2506 nt
Organism: Rosa chinensis
Lineage: Eukaryota; Viridiplantae; Streptophyta; Magnoliopsida; Rosales; Rosaceae
Exons: 3
Source: RefSeq, a predicted model, not a curated record